AGUUUGAUCCUGGCUCAGGAUGAACGCUGGCGGCGCGCCUAACACAUGCAAGUCGAACGGCACCCAUCUUCGGAUGGAAGCGAGUGGCGAACGGCUGAGUAACACGUGGAGAACCUGCCCCCUCCCCCGGGAUAGCCGCCCGAAAGGACGGGUAAUACCGGAUACCCCCGGGCGCCGCAUGGCGCCCGGGCUAAAGCCCCGACGGGAGGGGAUGGCUCCGCGGCCCAUCAGGUAGACGGCGGGGUGACGGCCCACCGUGCCGACAACGGGUAGCCGGGUUGAGAGACCGACCGGCCAGAUUGGGACUGAGACACGGCCCAGACUCCUACGGGAGGCAGCAGUGGGGAAUCUUGCGCAAUGGGGGGAACCCUGACGCAGCGACGCCGCGUGCGGGACGGAGGCCUUCGGGUCGUAAACCGCUUUCAGCAGGGAAGAGUCAAGACUGUACCUGCAGAAGAAGCCCCGGCUAACUACGUGCCAGCAGCCGCGGUAAUACGUAGGGGGCGAGCGUUAUCCGGAUUCAUUGGGCGUAAAGCGCGCGUAGGCGGCCCGGCAGGCCGGGGGUCGAAGCGGGGGGCUCAACCCCCCGAAGCCCCCGGAACCUCCGCGGCUUGGGUCCGGUAGGGGAGGGUGGAACACCCGGUGUAGCGGUGGAAUGCGCAGAUAUCGGGUGGAACACCGGUGGCGAAGGCGGCCCUCUGGGCCGAGACCGACGCUGAGGCGCGAAAGCUGGGGGAGCGAACAGGAUUAGAUACCCUGGUAGUCCCAGCCGUAAACGAUGGACGCUAGGUGUGGGGGGACGAUCCCCCCGUGCCGCAGCCAACGCAUUAAGCGUCCCGCCUGGGGAGUACGGCCGCAAGGCUAAAACUCAAAUGAAUUGACGGA
Molecule: ribosomal RNA, 885 nt
Filed under: uncultured bacterium
Lineage: Bacteria
Description: bacterial SSU rRNA
Rfam family: Bacterial small subunit ribosomal RNA
Source: RNAcentral